RNAcentral lists this ribosomal RNA (254 nucleotides) under uncultured bacterium. Its description in RNAcentral is "partial 16S ribosomal RNA". It matches the Rfam family "Bacterial small subunit ribosomal RNA", at positions 524 to 776 of the family's 1533-position model. The record is from RNAcentral.
UACGUAGGGUGCAAGCGUUUAUCCGGAAUUAUUGGGCGUAAAGAGCUCGUAGGCGGUGUGUCACGUCGGCCGUGAAAACCUGGGGCUUAACUCUGGGCGUGCGGUCGAUACGGGCAGGCUAGAGUUCGGUAGGGGAGACUGGAAUUCCUGGUGUAGCGGUGAAAUGCGCAGAUAUCAGGAGGAACACCGGUGGCGAAGGCGGGUCUCUGGGCCGAUACUGACGCUGAGGGGCGAAAGCGUGGGGAGCGAACAGG